GAUGAACGCUGGCGGCGUGCCUAAUACAUGCAAGUCGAGCGAACAGACGAGGAGCUUGCUCCUCUGACGUUAGCGGCGGACGGGUGAGUAACACGUGGAUAACCUACCUAUAAGACUGGGAUAACUUCGGGAAACCGGAGCUAAUACCGGAUAAUAUAUUGAACCGCAUGGUUCAAUAGUGAAAGACGGUUUUGCUGUCACUUAUAGAUGGAUCCGCGCCGCAUUAGCUAGUUGGUAAGGUAACGGCUUACCAAGGCAACGAUGCGUAGCCGACCUGAGAGAGUGAUCGGCCACACUGGAACUGAGACACGGUCCAGGCUCCUGCGGGAGGCAGCAGUAGGGAAUGUUCCGCAAUGGGCGAAAGCCUGACGGAGCAACGCCGCGUGAGUGAUGGAGGUCUUCGGAUCGUAAUACUCUGUUACUAGGGAAGAACAAAUGUGGAAGUAACUAUGCACGUCUUGACGGUAACUAAUCAGAAAGCCACGGCUAACUACGUG
This 497-nucleotide ribosomal RNA is filed under the name uncultured bacterium. Its description in RNAcentral is "partial 16S ribosomal RNA". It matches the Rfam family "Bacterial small subunit ribosomal RNA", at positions 28 to 507 of the family's 1533-position model. The record is from RNAcentral.